ACCUCUGAAAACUUCGGCAACAACCACCUACUGUCGUGGCUGGAGCCCCCCAAAAACCAGACCCUGAAGAAGGACUCCAAUACAAGUCGUUUCUUUGGGAGCUAAUCCCAGCGUUGGGGUGGAGGACUGAGACAAGGAAGGGAAAGAAGCUAAUAAAGAGUCCAAUGGCAAGCAAGUGCCCACCAUGGGCAAAUGGAGCCAUUCCCACCGGGGAACUCUGGGAGGCAGCAAGAACAUCCCACCGGGGGAAGGCCAAGGAGCUGCGUGAGACAGUCACUGAUUCCUGACAGCUAAUUAUCGGCCUCCUGGGGACAAUUCCUUCCAUAUGGAGCCUGGAUCUCAGAGACAAUUACAACCUCUUCCUCUCAGGAUACUCAA
Molecule: non-coding RNA, 378 nt
Organism: Macaca mulatta (Rhesus monkey)
Lineage: Eukaryota; Metazoa; Chordata; Mammalia; Primates; Cercopithecidae
Source: RefSeq, a predicted model, not a curated record